GGGACAGUACUUUAAAAAAAAGAUUUAAUUUGCAUUUAAAUAAUAGGAAUUUUAUCCUCUAUCCCA
Molecule: non-coding RNA, 66 nt
Organism: Liolophura sinensis
Lineage: Eukaryota; Metazoa; Mollusca; Polyplacophora; Chitonida; Chitonidae
Source: the annotation of a RefSeq genome assembly